CUCCGAAUACCCGGGAGUACUAGAUGGCAGACACACGGCGGAUGCUAACGUCCGUCGUGGAGAGGGCAACAACCCUGACCACCAGCUAAGGUCCCCAAGUUAUGGCUAAGUGGGAAAGGAUGUGAAGAUUCCAAAACAACCAGGAUGUUGGCUUAGAAGCAGCCAUCAUUUAAAGAAAGCGUAACAGCUCACUGGUCUAAAUAAGAGUCUUUGCGCCGAAAAUGUAACGGGGCUUAAGCCAUACACCGAAGCUGUGGGUUCAUCUCUUAGGAGGUGAGCGGUAGCGGAGCGUUCCGUAGGCCUGUGAAGGCGGACCCGUGAGGGCUGCUGGAGGUAUCGGAAGUGCGAAUGCUGACAUGAGUAACGAUAAAGGGAGUGAGAGACUCCCUCGCCGAAAGUCCAAGGGUUCCUGCUUAAAGUUAAUCUGAGCAGGGUUAGCCGGCCCCUAAGGCGAGGCCGAAAGGCGUAGUCGAUGGGAACGGGGCGAAUAUUCCCCGGCCAGUGGAUGGUG
This 511-nucleotide ribosomal RNA is filed under the name Heterosigma akashiwo. RNAcentral describes it as "partial Bacterial large subunit ribosomal RNA". It matches the Rfam family "Bacterial large subunit ribosomal RNA", at positions 954 to 1456 of the family's 2925-position model. The record is from RNAcentral. Lineage: Eukaryota; Raphidophyceae; Chattonellales; Chattonellaceae.